UAAAAAUAGGAAUAAACCUAGCUGCACUUUCUCACUCUCACCUCCGUCCUCUCUCGGCUGUGCCUCUCAUCUCGGCGCCGCUUCUCCGCCUCCUCCGUUGGCUGGGCAAUUCCACCUCCUAGCACGCCGCUCGCACAUCUCAGGAUUGAAAGGGAGAGAUGAAGAAAGGGAUUCACCCUCAAAUGCAAUGGAUAUCCUAUGUGACCCAAAGCGGUCGGCUUAUGCCCGUGAUGAUGACCAAGAUUCAUGAGACUGGUAAAGUUUAUCAUUUGCGAGCAAAGCGGCAAAUGGCUCAGAACUUAGGGCAGAUAGCCAAGUUCAAGCGUAGAUAUGGAGAAAAGGAAGGGGAAGGGGAACCUGUAACGGAAAGCGAAACCGGAAAUAAAUGAAUCUACUGAGGUACUAAAUGUAUGGUAGACUGCCUUGUUUUCUGGUUUGGGACUUGGUUAUGAUGGUUACUACUCCGCCCCAUUAAGAUUCGUACAGUUCUGCACUGAUGCAUGCACGUCAUUAUCGAUUUCUAAUCAUAAUAAAAUGUGCUUGUUAUCUGUUUGCCCUUCAUCAAUCUAGAGGAAUAUAAUGCCAGAUUAUGUUUUA
This is a long non-coding RNA of Salvia splendens (bonfire salvia), 597 nucleotides long. RefSeq lists it as uncharacterized. The record is from RefSeq and is a predicted model, not a curated record. NCBI's taxonomy places the organism in Eukaryota, Viridiplantae, Streptophyta, Magnoliopsida, Lamiales, Lamiaceae. The transcript has 2 exons.